GAUGAACGCUGGCGGCGUGCUUAACACAUGCAAGUCGAACGGAAAGGCCCAAGCUUGUUUGGGUACUCGAGUGGCGAACGGGUGAGUCACCCGUGGGUGAUCUGCCCUGCACUUCGGGUUCAGCCUGGGAAACUGGGUCUAAUACCGGAUAGGACCACAUUUUGGAUGGUGCGGUGGAACGUUCUUCGGUGUGGGGUGAGCUCGCGGCCUAUCUGCUUGUUGGUGGGGUAAUGGCCUACCAAUGCGUCGACGGGUAGCCGGCCUGUGAGGGUGUACGGCCGCAUUGGGACUGAGAGGCGGCCGAGGCUCCGACGUGUGGCAGCAGGGGGCAAGACUGCUCAGGGAAUGCAAGCCGGAUGCAGAGGGGCCUCGGGUUGGAUGACGGCCUUCUGGUGGAAAACACGUUUCGGGAGAAUCCACGCGGUUUGUGACGGUACCGGGAGAAUAAGCACCGGCUAACUACGUG
RNAcentral lists this ribosomal RNA (466 nucleotides) under uncultured bacterium. RNAcentral's name for it is "partial 16S ribosomal RNA". It matches the Rfam family "Bacterial small subunit ribosomal RNA", at positions 28 to 507 of the family's 1533-position model. The record is from RNAcentral.